GAAUAUAUAAGGGCUCGGUUUCGCCCGCCAGAGUCAGUUCGAUUUGAACAGCGAAACAAGCGGUUUCGAAACGAAAAGGAAAGAAGUUAUCUGUGAGCCUUUACUUUGAAGCGAAGAAGCAUAAAGUUGCUGUGAGCCUAUAUUGUGAAAUAUCAAAUACUACAAUGCCUAGACGUAAAAUAGGAGAAGAUCUUGCCAGUUCUGCAGCGAAACGGCGGAAAUAAAAGAAUAUCGAAGAAAUGAAACGGAAGAAGAGCACGAAGCACGUUUACAAAAUCAACGAACCAGAAUGAGCACCCUGAGAAGCAGAAAAAGCGAAGAAAGAAAAUAAAAUAAAAUAAAAGUAUUGAAGAAUCGAGAA
Melitaea cinxia (Glanville fritillary) is the source of this 361-nucleotide long non-coding RNA. RefSeq lists it as uncharacterized. The record is from RefSeq and is a predicted model, not a curated record. The transcript is spliced from 2 exons. NCBI's taxonomy places the organism in Eukaryota, Metazoa, Arthropoda, Insecta, Lepidoptera, Nymphalidae.